GAUUCACGUUUAAAAAUUCAGUCGAAUAAAGGUUGAAACAAACCUAAUUCUGAUUGAAAUGGAAGUAGAAGUUGUGUUUUGUUUGUGUGUUUUACUGCAUUGCAUACUACUGGCAUCGUCUUAUCAAGGCACUUGUAUUCAAACCCCACGUCAAUUAUGGAAUUUGAUAUUGGUACACGCAAUGUUACUGUACUGGUAGAGCAAAGAAGUCACGUGUAUGCGAUGGAAUAUGAUUUCAAACACAGAUUCAUCUAUUUUCCAAGACAUAGUAGAAAAGAUAUCGUUCGAUUUGCAUAUCCGUCAAAGAGUAGAACAUUACAGACAGUUGUCCAGACUGGUUUAUAUCCAUCAGGAAUAGCUGUUGAAACAACCACUGAUCAUAUCUACUGGGUUAGUGAGGUUAUAAACAGACUCUCAAGAUGCAAUCUAGACGGAAGCAAUGUGACUGUGUUAUCAAGUCCAAGUAAUCCUUUUGUGAUAUGACUUGAUCUUAC
Long non-coding RNA from Mytilus californianus (California mussel), 494 nucleotides. RefSeq lists it as uncharacterized. The record is from RefSeq and is a predicted model, not a curated record. NCBI's taxonomy places the organism in Eukaryota, Metazoa, Mollusca, Bivalvia, Mytilida, Mytilidae. The transcript has 3 exons.